UUAAUUCGAAGCAACGCGAAGAACCUUACCAAGUCUUGACAUCCCUCUGACCGUUCCUUAACCGGAACUUUCCUUCGGGACAGGGGAGACAGGUGGUGCAUGGUUGUCGUCAGCUCGUGUCGUGAGAUGUUGGGUUAAGUCCCGCAACGAGCGCAACCCCUAUCCCCAGUAGCCAGCGGUCCGGCUGGGCACUCUGAGGAGACUGCCAGGGAUAACCUGGAGGAAGGCGGGGAUGACGUCAAAUCAUCAUGCCCCUUAUGAUUUGGGCUACACACGUGCUACAAUGGCGUAAACAAAGGGAAGCGAGCCUGCGAAGGUAAGCAAAUCCCAAAAAUAACGUCCCAGUUCGGACUGCAGUCUGCAACUCGACUGCACGAAGCUGGAAUCGCUAGUAAUCGCGGAUCAGAAUGCCGCGGUGAAUACGUUCCCGGGUCUUGUACACACCGCCCGUCACACCAUGGGAGUCAGUAACGCCCGAAGUCAGUGACCUAACUGCAAAGAAGGAGCUGCCGAAGGCGGGACCGAUGACUGGGGUGAAGUCGUAACAAGGUAGCCGUAUCGGAAGGUGCGGCUGGAUCACCUCCUUUCUAAGG
This 593-nucleotide ribosomal RNA is filed under the name Blautia obeum. Its description in RNAcentral is "bacterial SSU rRNA". It matches the Rfam family "Bacterial small subunit ribosomal RNA", at positions 946 to 1533 of the family's 1533-position model. Lineage: Bacteria; Bacillati; Bacillota; Clostridia; Lachnospirales; Lachnospiraceae. The record is from RNAcentral.